CUCUUCGGGGAUGAUUAAACCGGCGCACGGGUGAGUAACACGUGAGUGACCUGCCUUUUAGACUGGAACAACUUACCGAAAGGUGAGCUAAUGCCGGAUGAGUUAUAUAAGUGCAUGUUUAUAUAGGAAAAGUUGGGGAGACCUGACGCUGAAAGAUGGACUCGCGUCCCAUUAGCUAGUUGGUAGGGUAAUGGCCUACCAAGGCGACGAUGGGUAGCCGGCCUGAGAGGGUGGCCGGCCACACUGGGACUGAGACACGGCCCAGACUCCUACGGGAGGCAGCAGUGGGGAAUUUUGCGCAAUGCUCGUAAGAGUGACGCAGCGACGCCGCGUGAAUGACGAAGGCCUUCGGGUCGUAAAGUUCUUUCGACAGGGAAGAAAAUGCCUAUAAGUAACUGUGUAUGUAUUGACGGUACCUGUAUAAGCAGCCCCGGCUAACUCCGUGCCAGCAGCCGCGGUAAUACGGAGGGGGCGAGCGUUGUUCGGAGUGACUGGGCGUAAAGAGCACGUAGGCGGUGUUGUAAGUCAUUAGUCAAAGACUAGAGCUCAACUUUAGUAAGGCUAGUGAUACUAUAAUACUAGAGUAUCAGAGAGGAUUGCAGAAUUCCUGGUGUAGCGGUGAAAUGCGUAGAUAUCAGGAGGAAUACCGUUAGCGAAGGCGGCAAUCUGGCUGGAAACUGACGCUGAGGUGCGAAAGCGUGGGUAGCAAACAGGAUUAGAUACCCUGGUAGUCCACGCUGUAAACGAUGGAUGCUAGGUGUUGGGCUUUUAAGUUCAGUGCCGCAGCAAACGCGAUAAGCAUCCCGCCUGGGGAGUA
RNAcentral lists this ribosomal RNA (817 nucleotides) under uncultured bacterium. RNAcentral's name for it is "bacterial SSU rRNA". It matches the Rfam family "Bacterial small subunit ribosomal RNA", at positions 76 to 882 of the family's 1533-position model. The record is from RNAcentral.